CGAACCGGGGGAACUGAAACAUCUAAGUACCCCGAGGAAAAGAAAUCAACCGAGAUUCCCCCAGUAGCGGCGAGCGAACGGGGAGGAGCCCAGAGCCUGAAUCAGCAUGUGUGUUAGUGGAAGCGUCUGGAAAGGCGCGCGAUACAGGGUGACAGCCCCGUACACAAAAGCGCAUGUGCUGUGAGCUCGAUGAGUAGGGCGGGACACGUGGUAUCCUGUCUGAAUAUGGGGGGACCAUCCUCCAAGGCUAAAUACUCCUGACUGACCGAUAGUGAACCAGUACCGUGAGGGAAAGGCGAAAAGAACCCCGGCGAGGGGAGUGAAAAAGAACCUGAAACCGUGUACGUACAAGCAGUGGGAGCACCCUUUGGGGUGUGACUGCGUACCUUUUGUAUAAUGGGUCAGCGACUUAUAUUCUGUAGCAAGGUUAACCGAAUAGGGGAGC
This 445-nucleotide ribosomal RNA is filed under the name Salmonella enterica. RNAcentral's name for it is "partial 23S ribosomal RNA". It matches the Rfam family "Bacterial large subunit ribosomal RNA", at positions 180 to 666 of the family's 2925-position model. The record is from RNAcentral. Lineage: Bacteria; Pseudomonadati; Pseudomonadota; Gammaproteobacteria; Enterobacterales; Enterobacteriaceae.